UGCCAGCCGCCGCGGUAAUACGGAGGGGGUUAGCGUUGUUCGGAAUUACUGGGCGUAAAGCGCACGUAGGCGGACUGUUAAGUUAGAGGUGAAAUCCCGGGGCUCAACCCCGGAACUGCCUUUAAUACUGGGAGUCUAGAGAUCAGGAGAGGUUAGUGGAAUACCGAGUGUAGAGGUGAAAUUCGUAGAUAUUCGGUGGAACACCAGUGGCGAAGGCGACUAACUGGACUGAUACUGACGCUGAGGUGCGAAAGUGUGGGGAGCAAACAGGAUUAGAUA
This 279-nucleotide ribosomal RNA is filed under the name uncultured bacterium. RNAcentral describes it as "partial 16S ribosomal RNA". It matches the Rfam family "Bacterial small subunit ribosomal RNA", at positions 506 to 784 of the family's 1533-position model. The record is from RNAcentral.